This 478-nucleotide ribosomal RNA is filed under the name uncultured bacterium. RNAcentral describes it as "partial 16S ribosomal RNA". It matches the Rfam family "Bacterial small subunit ribosomal RNA", at positions 28 to 507 of the family's 1533-position model. The record is from RNAcentral.
GAUGAACGCUAGCGGCAGGCCUAACACAUGCCAGUCGAGGGAGAAGCCCUUUCGGGGGCAGAAACCGGCGCACGGGUGCGUAACGCGUAUGCAACCUACCUUUCACAGGGGGAUAGCCCGAAGAAAUUUGGAUUAAUACCCCAUAAUAUUAUUGGAUGGCAUCAUUUGAUAAUUAAAACUGCGGUGGUGAAAGAUGGGCAUGCGUCCUAUUAGCUAGUUGGAGUGGUAACGGCACCCCAAGGCUACGAUAGGUAGGGGUCCUGAGAGGGAGAUCCCCCACACUGGUACUGAGACAGGGACCAGACUCCUACGGGAGGCAGCAGUGAGGAAUAUUGGUCAAUGGUCGGAAGACUGAACCAGCCAUGCCGCGUGCAGGAAGAAUGCCUUAUGGGUUGUAAACUGCUUUUAUAGGGGAAGAAUAAGGCGUACGUGUACGUUGAUGACGGUACCAUAUGAAUAAGCAUCGGCUAACUCCGUG